GAUGAAGAACGUAGCGAAAUGCGAUAAGUAAUGUGAAUUGCAGAAUUCAGUGAAUCAUCGAAUCUUUGAACGCACAUUGCGCCCUCUGGUAUUCCGGGGGGCAUGCCUGUUCGAGCGUCAUUAUAACCACUCAAGCUCUCGCUUGGUAUUGGGGUUCGCGGUUUCGUGGCCCCUAAAAUCAGUGGCGGUGCCUGUCGGCUCUACGCGUAGUAAUACUUCUCGCGAUUGAGUUCGAUAGGUCUACUUGCCAGUAACCCCCAAUUUUUACAGGUUGACCUCGGAUCAGGUAGGGAUACCCGCUGAACUUAAGCAUAUCAAUAAGCGGAGGA
This 329-nucleotide unclassified non-coding RNA is filed under the name soil metagenome. Its description in RNAcentral is "partial contains 5.8S ribosomal RNA, internal transcribed spacer 2, and large subunit ribosomal RNA". The stretch from base 1 to 120 matches the Rfam family "5.8S ribosomal RNA", at positions 35 to 154 of the family's 154-position model. The record is from RNAcentral.